This 168-nucleotide ribosomal RNA is filed under the name Dysalotus sp. CBM:ZF:14687. RNAcentral describes it as "partial 12S rRNA". The record is from RNAcentral. Lineage: Eukaryota; Metazoa; Chordata; Actinopteri; Scombriformes; Chiasmodontidae.
CACCGCGGUUAUACGGGUGGCCCAAGUUGACAGACACCGGCGUAAAGCGUGGUUAAGAGACACUAAGACUAAAGCCGAACGCCCUCAAAGCAGUUAUACGCAUCCGAAGGUAUGAAGCCCCACCACGAAAGUGGCUUUACAAAGUCUGACUCCACGAAAGCUAUUAAA